GGUUAAGCGACUAAGCGUACACGGUGGAUGCCCUGGCAGUCAGAGGCGAUGAAGGACGUGCUAAUCUGCGAAAAGCGUCGGUAAGGUGAUAUGAACCGUUAUAGCCGGCGAUGUCCGAAUGGGGAAACCCAGUGCAAUUCGUUGCACUAUCGUUAACUGAAUACAUAGGUUAACGAGGCGAACCGGGGGAACUGAAACAUCUAAGUACCCCGAGGAAAAGAAAUCAACCGAGAUUCCCCCAGUAGCGGCGAGCGAACGGGGAGCAGCCCGGAGUCUGAAUCAGCUUGUGUGUUAGUGGAAGCGUCUGGAAAGUCGCAGGGUACAGGGUGAUACUCCCGUACACUAAAACAUACAGGCUGUGAACUCGAAGAGUAGGGCGGGACACGUGGUAUCCUGUCUGAAUAUGGGGGGACCAUCCUCCAAGGCUAAAUACUCCUGACUGACCGAUAGUGAACCAGUACCGUGAGGGAAAGGCGAAAAGAACCCCGGCGAGGGGAGUGAAAAAGAACCUGAAACCGUGUACGUACAAGCAGUAGGAGCCCACUUGUUGGGUGACUGCGUACCUUUUGUAUAAUGGGUCAGCGACUUAUAUUCUGUAGCAAGGUUAACCGUAUAGGGGAGCCGCAGGGAAACCGAGUCUUAACUGGGCGUUAAGUUGCAGGGUAUAGACCCGAAACCCGGUGAUCUAGCCAUGGGCAGGUUGAAGGUUGGGUAACACUAACUGGAGGACCGAACCGACUAAUGUUGAAAAAUUAGCGGAUGACUUGUGGCUGGGGGUGAAAGGCCAAUCAAACCGGGAGAUAGCUGGUUCUCCCCGAAAGCUAUUUAGGUAGCGCCUCGUGAAUUCAUCUUCGGGGGUAGAGCACUGUUUCGGCUAGGGGGUCAUCCCGACUUACCAACCCGAUGCAAACUACGAAUACCGAAGAAUGUUAUCACGGGAGACACACGGCGGGUGCUAACGUCCGUCGUGAAGAGGGAAACAACCCAGACCGCCAGCUAAGGUCCCAAAGUCAUGGUUAAGUGGGAAACGAUGUGGGAAGGCCCAGACAGCCAGGAUGUUGGCUUAGAAGCAGCCAUCAUUUAAAGAAAGCGUAAUAGCUCACUGGUCGAGUCGGCCUGCGCGGAAGAUGUAACGGGGCUAAACCAUGCACCGAAGCUGCGGCAGCGACACUAUGUGUUGUUGGGUAGGGGAGCGUUCUGUAAGCCGUUGAAGGUGGCCUGUGAGGGUUGCUGGAGGUAUCAGAAGUGCGAAUGCUGACAUAAGUAACGAUAAUGCGGGUGAAAAACCCGCACGCCGGAAGACCAAGGGUUCCUGUCCAACGUUAAUCGGGGCAGGGUGAGUCGACCCCUAAGGCGAGGCCGAAAGGCGUAGUCGAUGGGAAACAGGUUAAUAUUCCUGUACUUGGUGUUACUGCGAAGGGGGGACGGAGAAGGCUAUGUUGGCCGGGCGACGGUUGUCCCGGUUUAAGCAUGUAGGCGGAUGUUCCAGGUAAAUCCGGAACGUCACUAACGCUGAGGUGUGAUGACGAGGCACUACGGUGCUGAAGUGACAAAUGCCCUGCUUCCAGGAAAAGCCUCUAAGCAUCAGGUAACAUCAAAUCGUACCCCAAACCGACACAGGUGGUCAGGUAGAGAAUACCAAGGCGCUUGAGAGAACUCGGGUGAAGGAACUAGGCAAAAUGGUGCCGUAACUUCGGGAGAAGGCACGCUGAUGGUAAGUGAAGUGACUUGCUCAUGGAGCUGAAAUCAGUCGAAGAUACCAGCUGGCUGCAACUGUUUAUUAAAAACACAGCACUGUGCAAACACGAAAGUGGACGUAUACGGUGUGACGCCUGCCCGGUGCCGGAAGGUUAAUUGAUGGGGUUAUCCUCGCGGAGAAGCUCUUGAUCGAAGCCCCGGUAAACGGCGGCCGUAACUAUAACGGUCCUAAGGUAGCGAAAUUCCUUGUCGGGUAAGUUCCGACCUGCACGAAUGGCGUAAUGAUGGCCAGGCUGUCUCCACCCGAGACUCAGUGAAAUUGAACUCGCUGUGAAGAUGCAGUGUACCCGCGGCAAGACGGAAAGACCCCGUGAACCUUUACUAUAGCUUGACACUGAACACUGGUCCUUGAUGUGUAGGAUAGGUGGGAGGCUUUGAAGUGUGGACGCCAGUCUGCAUGGAGCCAUCCUUGAAAUACCACCCUUUAAUGGCUGGUGUUCUAACGUGGGCCCGUAAUCCGGGUUGCGGACAGUGUCUGGUGGGUAGUUUGACUGGGGCGGUCUCCUCCUAAAGAGUAACGGAGGAGCACGAAGGUCAGCUAAUCCUGGUCGGACAUCAGGAGGUUAGUGCAAUGGCAUAAGCUGGCUUGACUGCGAGCGUGACGGCGCGAGCAGGUGCGAAAGCAGGUCAUAGUGAUCCGGUGGUUCUGAAUGGAAGGGCCAUCGCUCAACGGAUAAAAGGUACUCCGGGGAUAACAGGCUGAUACCGCCCAAGAGUUCAUAUCGACGGCGGUGUUUGGCACCUCGAUGUCGGCUCAUCACAUCCUGGGGCUGAAGUAGGUCCCAAGGGUAUGGCUGUUCGCCAUUUAAAGUGGUACGCGAGCUGGGUUUAGAACGUCGUGAGACAGUUCGGUCCCUAUCUGCCGUGGGCGCUGGAGAAUUGAGGGGGGCUGCUCCUAGUACGAGAGGACCGGAGUGGACGCAUCACUGGUGUUCGGGUUGUCAUGCCAAUGGCAUUGCCCGGUAGCUAAAUGCGGAAGAGAUAAGUGCUGAAAGCAUCUAAGCACGAAACUUGCCCCGAGAUGAGUUCUCCCUGACUCCUUGAGGGUCCUGAAGGAACGUUGAAGACGACGACGUUGAUAGGCCGGGUGUGUAAGCGCAGCGAUGCGUUGAGCUAACCGGUACUAAUGAACCGUGAGGCUUAACCUU
RNAcentral lists this ribosomal RNA (2906 nucleotides) under Klebsiella oxytoca. Its description in RNAcentral is "23S ribosomal RNA". It matches the Rfam family "Bacterial large subunit ribosomal RNA". Lineage: Bacteria; Pseudomonadati; Pseudomonadota; Gammaproteobacteria; Enterobacterales; Enterobacteriaceae. The record is from RNAcentral.